UGGGGAAUAUUGCGCAAUGGGCGAAAGCCUGACGCAGCGACGCCGCGUGAGGGAUGAAGGUUUUCGGAUCGUAAACCUCUGUCAGAAGGGAAGAAACCGCACUGUGCUAAUCAGCAGUGCCUUGACGGUACCUUCAAAGGAAGCACCGGCUAACUCCGUGCCAGCAGCCGCAGUAAUACGGAGGGUGCAAGCGUUAAUCGGAAUUACUGGGCGUAAAGCGCACGUAGGCUGCUUUGUAAGUCAGGGGUGAAAUCCCACGGCUCAACCGUGGAACUGCCUUUGAUACUGCUUAGCUUGAAGCCGGGAGAGGGUGGCGGAAUUCCAGGUGUAGGAGUGAAAUCCGUAGAUAUCUGGAGGAACAUCAGUGGCGAAGGCGGCCACCUGGACCGGUAUUGACGCUGAGGUGCGAAAGCGUGGGGAGCAAACAGG
RNAcentral lists this ribosomal RNA (429 nucleotides) under Fusobacteriota bacterium. Its description in RNAcentral is "Fusobacteria bacterium partial 16S ribosomal RNA". It matches the Rfam family "Bacterial small subunit ribosomal RNA", at positions 355 to 776 of the family's 1533-position model. Lineage: Bacteria; Fusobacteriati; Fusobacteriota. The record is from RNAcentral.